Molecule: ribosomal RNA, 372 nt
Filed under: uncultured bacterium
Lineage: Bacteria
Description: bacterial SSU rRNA
Rfam family: Bacterial small subunit ribosomal RNA
Source: RNAcentral
AUACGUAGGUGGCAAGCGUUAUCCGGAAUUAUUGGGCGUAAAGAGGGAGCAGGCGGUAACAAAGGUCUGUGGUGAAAGCCUGAAGCUUAACUUCAGUAAGCCAUAGAAACCAGGUAACUAGAGUGCAAGAGAGGAUCGUGGAAUUCCAUGUGUAGCGGUGAAAUGCGUAGAUAUAUGGAGGAACACCAGUGGCGAAGGCGACGAUCUGGCUUGUAACUGACGCUGAGUCCCGAAAGCGUGGGGAGCAAAUAGGAUUAGAUACCCUAGUAGUCCACGCCGUAAACGAUGAGUACUAAGUGUUGGGGGUCGAACCUCAGUGCUGCAGUUAACGCAAUAAGUACUCCGCCUGAGUAGUACGUUCGCAAGAAUGAA